UAGUGAGGCCUCCGGACUGGCCCAGGGAGGUCGGCAACGACCACCCAGGGCCGGGAAGUUCGUCAAACUUGGUCAUUUAGAGGAAGUAAAAGUCGUAACAAGGUUUCCGUAGGUGAACCUGCGGAAGGAUCAUUAUUGAAUAUUCUUGAUGGGUUGUAGCUGGCUCUUCGGGGCAUGUGCACGCCUGUCUUGACUUUAUUCACCCACCUGUGCACCUUUUGUAGUCUUGGGGGCUGAGAGCAGUCAACUUGUCGGACGGCCCAUAUGGUCUUUCCGGAUAUGAGGAAUGCUGAGCGUGAAACGCGUACAGCUCUUCUCAAAGGACUUGCCAAACCUCAAGUACUAUGUAUUCAUAUACCACAUUGCAUGUUGUAGAAUGUGAUCAAUGGGCCUAUGUGCCUAUAAAAAGUUAUAUACAACUUUCAGCAACGGAUCUCUUGGCUCUCGCAUCGAUGAAGAACGCAGCGAAAUGCGAUAAGUAAUGUGAAUUGCAGAAUUCAGUGAAUCAUCGAAUCUUUGAACGCACCUUGCGCUCCUUGGUAUUCCGAGGAGCAUGCCUGUUUGAGUGUCAUUAAAUUCUCAACCCCUUCAGCUUUUGCAAGUUGUAAUGGGGCUUGGAUGUUGGGGGUUUGCGGGCCUUUAUUAUAAUAGAGGUCGGCUCUCCUGAAAUGCAUUAGCGGAACCGUUUGCAGUUCUAUCAUUAGUGUGAUAAUUAUCUACACUGUGAUGAUUGCUCUCUGACUAGUUCAGCUGCUAAUCGUCCACUUGUUGGACAAUACAUAUAAUGAACCUCUUGACCUCAAAUCAGGUAGGACUACCCGCUGAACUUAAGCAUAUCAAUAAGCGGAGGAAAAGAAGCUAACAAGGAUUCCCCUAGUAACUGCGAGUGAAGCGGGAAAAGCUCAAAUUUAAAAUCUGGCGGUCUUUGGCCGUCCGAGUUGUAAUCUAGAGAAGUGUUGCCCGCGCUGGACCGUGUACAAGUCUCCUGGAAU
RNAcentral lists this ribosomal RNA (992 nucleotides) under uncultured Basidiomycota. RNAcentral's name for it is "eukaryotic LSU rRNA". The stretch from base 418 to 571 matches the Rfam family "5.8S ribosomal RNA". The record is from RNAcentral. Lineage: Eukaryota; Fungi; Basidiomycota.